RNAcentral lists this long non-coding RNA (439 nucleotides) under Daucus carota (carrot). Its description in RNAcentral is "long non-coding RNA (DCAR_LNC001835)". Lineage: Eukaryota; Viridiplantae; Streptophyta; Magnoliopsida; Apiales; Apiaceae. The record is from RNAcentral.
AGAACCAUCUGCUAGUUGGAAGGAAGUGAUCUCCAUCUCGACCUGUCAAGCGCUAUACACAGUCACUUGGUCAUUCACCUGAAAUAUUAACCCAAAGAACAACAAUAGAGAGUCGAGUAUUACAGUAGUUGCUGCAUGUUUCGUGGAAGCAUUCACCCUCAUGGCCCUAUUCUUAUUCUGCUGUUUCAGGGGUAGGAGGAAGAAAAUUCACCCCAAAGAUGGACUAAGAGUUGGUAGGCUUCUUCUAAACUUCUUCUUAGAUUUUUGUACAUGGUAUCUGUUGUGGCAAUAACUUAUUUAUUAAAAUUGCUUGUAUUUGUAUCUCCAAGUUACAUAGACUUCCUUACCUUUCAGGUUCUCCAGUGAUCCACAAUUCCUUGUCCAGUGUCAACAGUUUUAGCGCCGAAUCUGAAGAUUCACUAGCUGUAGAUUUAGAAGC